CCAGCCACCGCGGUUAUACGAGAGACCCUAGUUGAUGACUACGGCGUAAAGAGUGGUUUGGGACCCDACAACAAUUAAAGCCAAAGACCUCCCAAGCUGUCAAACGCACCCCGGAGGCACGAAGCCCAACCACAAAAGUGGCUUUACCCUCUAUUCCCGACCCCACGAAAGCUAAAAGACAAACUGGGAUUAGAUACCCCACUAUGCUUAGCCCUAAACUCAGAUGGAAACUUACACCUAGCCUCCGCCAGGGUACUACGGGGCGUAGCUUAAAACCCAAAGGACUUGACGGUGUCUCAGACCCGCCUAGAGGAGCCUGUUCUAGAACCGAUAAUCCCCGU
Molecule: ribosomal RNA, 341 nt
Filed under: Hypomasticus thayeri
Lineage: Eukaryota; Metazoa; Chordata; Actinopteri; Characiformes; Anostomidae
Description: partial small subunit ribosomal RNA
Source: RNAcentral